This 45-nucleotide non-coding RNA is filed under the name Schistosoma haematobium. Lineage: Eukaryota; Metazoa; Platyhelminthes; Trematoda; Strigeidida; Schistosomatidae. The record is from RNAcentral.
AUCCAGCUGACACGUCUCAAAUCGGAUGAAACACGCGUCCUGGAU